UUCCAGGUGUAGCGGUGAAAUGCGUAGAGAUCUGGAGGAAUACCGGUGGCGAAGGCGGCCCCCUGGACAAAGACUGACGCUCAGGUGCGAAAGCGUGGGGAGCAAACAGGAUUAGAUACCCUGGUAGUCCACGCCGUAAACGAUGUCGAUUUGGAGGUUGUGCCCUUGAGGCGUGGCUUCCGGAGC
Molecule: ribosomal RNA, 186 nt
Filed under: Klebsiella pneumoniae
Lineage: Bacteria; Pseudomonadati; Pseudomonadota; Gammaproteobacteria; Enterobacterales; Enterobacteriaceae
Description: partial 16S ribosomal RNA
Rfam family: Bacterial small subunit ribosomal RNA
Source: RNAcentral